Molecule: long non-coding RNA, 21185 nt
Filed under: Capsicum annuum
Lineage: Eukaryota; Viridiplantae; Streptophyta; Magnoliopsida; Solanales; Solanaceae
Description: long non-coding RNA (CANN_LNC010530)
Source: RNAcentral
GUGCAAUCUGUCCAUUUUUGUUCUUGGCUGAGAAAUUGUUAUUCUUGUUUUUCUAGUCUUGGACGAAUUGUGUUAUCUAGAUCUAAUAAUCUUUUACUUGUUUAGAGUGUUUCUAGUGUUGGUUUCUUUCUCACCAACACUACAAGUGUCUAGAUCUAAAGUUUGAGCUUAAAACAUUGGCAUUGUUGUUGUGAACUUGAAAGUGGCCGUGUAUUGUGGAUUUGGUUGAAACGUUGGGUGUGUUGUUGGUGUUCUUGAAAAAUUUUUGCGGUGUUCUUGUUGUUCUUCAUCCACUCCCAUAUCUUUACUAACUUAAAGUACCUAAUAGAUCUAAAAAGUUGUAAGACAAAGUUGUAAAGCUUGUUGGCGAAAGAACUUGAACCCAUCACUUCCUAGACUUGACAUCAACUUUUCAACCACUUACCUUGUUUCAAGGAGCCUUGUUUUGUGGAACUAGUACAAGUCAAAUUUCACCUUUUUGAGUUGAAUUUGAAGAGUUUCAAGACUUGUGUUUUCCCUUCAAUACUAAUUGUCUUCCAUUCUAAGAUUGUAUAAGGACUAAACUUCAAGUUGUGACUAAAAAUUUGUGUGGGACCAAGACCAAUUGCAUGCUGCCAUAUCACCUUUGCUACUGUUCACGUCAAUAUUAAGCUAAAAAAAUUGGAUUUUCUAGUUUCUAAUUUUUGAUUCUUGGUUUUAAUUAGUUGAUCCUAAAACUAAUUAACAAACUAGUAAACUCCUACUAGGUUGUCAAUUAGUCCUUUGAAUUCAUUGUUCGUGUCUACGUUAUUUUGUGAUUUUGUUAUUUUUAAAUAAUAGUACUUCUUGGUUUAAGUUCGAAAAUUACUUCCUUGAGUCGUCAAACAAAUAAUCUAUUUCGACUAAGAAGUAGACUUACUCUUCAACUCACCACGAGUUACAAGCCGACUUGCAAACAUUUGUUAAAUCAAGUGUGAGACCACAAAGUGUGUGAGAGUGUAGUGAGGUUGUUUUGAACUAACGUGUGUCUUAUUUUGUAGGAUUUAUAUUGUAUUGUUGUGUGUGACGUUAUGGACUGAUUGGGUGUUUUGUUGGACCGUAACUUAAAGGGUUAUUUUUGGUACAACCACAAUGGAACCCGAGGCUUCAAAUGCUUAAACAAUGGACAAUAAUGCCAUCAAUUUAUUUUGGCUCGCCUUGAAACUAUGUCCCGAGAUGUGGCUAGGUUGAAUGUGGGUCUUAAGAAAUUAGAUACGGAUGUGACAUCAAUAAGUGGGAGAUUAGAACGUGUGAAAAGUCAAUGGAGUCGACCUUCCACCCCUCAAAAUAAUUCCCCAACUAAUACUCCUGAGACCUUGCACCAAAUGCUAUAUCCACCAAUUGCCAUAAAUCCAACCAAUCUUUACUCUCGAAGUCGAGAACAAGAUAGACCAAACUAUCCUCCACUCUACCAAGUCCAACAAAAAGGGCUUGGAACCCAAAUACCACCAUUAAACCCAAACCCUCUCAUCCAAACUCCACUUCACCAAAGAUCUCACUAUCCAAAUCCAAUCCCGCCACUACAAGUUCCACUUAACCUAAAUAGACCCAUCCAUGUUGAGGGAUAUGGUAGGGGAGGACAACAUGAUGGUUAUGGUCCGUAUGAUGAUGUUUACUUGGAGGAAGAAAGAAUGAGGGCUAGACAUGGGGAGUUAGGCCGAGAGGUGAGAGAUGGACACCCAAACUGAGAUAUAGGUCUCAAUUCCAUCAAAGUGAGCCUUCCCGUUAUCAAAGGUGAGAGUGAUCCUGAAGCCUACCUUGCAUAGGAGUCGUAUAGUGACAAGAUCUUCCAACUUAAUUAUCUCACCGAAGAAAAUAAAAGUUGCUAUGCUAUAGCUCACUUCAAAGGGUAUGCUAAUACAUUGUGGGAGUAUGUUAAACAGUUUGGGAAUGAGAUGAUUAGGGGACAACCUCUUUCUUCGUUUUGGUUGAAGAACCUUAUGCAGCAAAGAUACUUACCCGAGACUUAUAGACAUGAGCUCCUUGCCAAAUUGUACAAUUUGAGCCAAGGGAGCAAAAGUGUCAUGGCUUUCUAUGAUGAAUUUUAACAAUUGAUGUUGAAACUAGAUCACCGGGGAGAACAAGUGAGCCAUGACAUCGUGCGCUUCAAAGUUGGGUUAAAAAAGGACAUCUCCACUCGCAUGACACUUUAUAAGUUCGACAUCAUUGAUGGCAUCUUCCAAGCAACAUUGGAGGUUGAAAGAGAGCUCAAAGAGAGCUCAUUCGUAGAUGUCCAAAUCGAGAGCAGCAAGGUUUCCCCUAAAUAGUCCACUAGGUAUGAAGGUAAACCAAUUUCCACUUCCAAUUCCAAGGGAUUUCAAUGCUUCAAAUGCCAAGGGUGGGGGCACAAGGCUAGUGAGUGUCCAAACCGGAGGAACAUGAUCCUAAGGUAGGGAAAAUUGUACUAUCUUGAGGAAGAAUUAGUAAUUGAAUUGGCUAAGGUUGAUGGAAAGCCUCAAGAUGGAGAGAAAGAAGAGGUUGAAAUGCAAGGCGAGGGAGAUGGAGAAGAUGUAUGGCCGUGUGAAGGAGAUUGUAAAGUGCCUUUGUAAAAGAGGUAAGGCCGUGAAUUUGUGAGAAAAUUCCUCUGAAGAUGGAAAGAAUGAUACGAGAACGAUCAUGACCUUAGACACUUUUUGAGUAUUUUGAAGAUCACCUAAAAGGGUGCACAAGACCAAGUGUAAAGAAGGCCCAAACUGCUCCUAAAGUGCACUCAGUGGGCGGUUUGGAGCCCAUUAAUGAAAAGGACCUUUAGUCUUUUGUCUCUUAUUUUGUAAUGUAAUAUAAAUAGAACAUUAUAGGGUUUCUAGUUCUUUAGUUGAUUAUUAUUAUUGAAAUAACACUUCUCUUAGAGUGAGAGAGAGUCCAACCAAAACUAGGGCAUUGCAUAAGUAUGAAAUCAUUUGUGUGUUGCAUUUUGCUUGAUACAUUGGUGCUUGGGUGGUGGACUCCUCUCUUGUGUCAAUUGUAAGAUAUAGGUGAUAGUUGUGUGUAGUGUUAAGGGUUCAAGAGUGGAAUAAGCUCUUGGAUUCUUAAUAUUAUACCAUCUACUUGUCUAUGUUUCUAUCUUUAUUUUAUUGUAAUCGUUGGUAGUGUCUUGUAUUGUAACUCGUAUUGUUCUUAUUGUUAUAAUGUUGUUAUUCUUCAUCCUAUUAUUGUUAAUAUAGUUUGGGAUUGUUGGUUGCCAAUAAGUGUUAAACACCUUAUUCUCUUGUGUUCUUGUUGUUGUUCUUGAAUCCGAGUAUGAUCAUUAAAGAGGUCCAUGGUUUCUUGACUAAUGGACUAUUUUGGUGUGUGGUUUUUGUGUCUUCCUUGGUUAUUCUUAUAUCAAUAUAUCUCCCAUGUUUCCCGUAUUACUUCUGCAUACUGAGAUCUUCAAGAAUUUUCCUCAAGUCGCUAUGCUUUCAUUGAGAAAAGGCCCAGAAGAAAAAGAGAAAAAUUGGAGAAAAAAACUGACUGAUUGGUGUUUUUUUUACGUUAUUAGGUUUGGGUGGGGCGGGGCGGGUUAUUAGGUUUGGAUGGGUUGUGGGUUAGGUUUAGCGGGUCGGAUUAUUAACUACUUUAAUUAAUUAUUAGUUGGCCAAUUAAAAGAAGCCACAUCAUUAAUGAAUUGGUGAUAAAUUAAUCUGUUAAAUAAAAGAGCAAAGUAGACCUGAAAGGUAGAUGACGAGGGUAUUUCAGGCCCAAUAGGUAGACGGGGGAUAUUUUUACACCAUUUCAGAUAGUUAAAGGACAUUUUAGACCCUUUUUCCAUUUCUUUUAGUAUAUGAUGUUAUAGUUUUUGGUUCGACCCCACAUAUAUCGAAAACUCUAGUACAUUAAACAAUUUUUAUUUUUUACUUCCCCUCUUCGUCUUUAUUUGUUUAUUUUAUAGUAGAGUAGUUGACUAAUUCCAAUGAAAAUUGAGUUCACCAAUUCAAAACACACAAUUAAUAGCUUGAACGGCUCUAAUAAAACAAGAGGUGUUACUUUAGAUGGACAGAAAAUAUAAAAUGAGUAAAAUUUAUAUUAAUCCCAACAAGUUUACCCCCCCUUACACUUUAUCCUUACUCUUUACUAAAUUACAAUGAUUUCUUAUUUUAAAAUUUUUAAAUAUAUAAUUCGCAUCCGGAUAUAUAAUUUUGAAAUUGAGAUACAUAAUUUUAAACUUAAAAAUGUAACAAUUAAUUACUCCAGUUUUGCUCGGAUACAUAAUUAGCAUCCAGGCACAUAAUUUUGAAGUGGAGAUACAUAAUUUUAAUUACUGAGAUACAUCCAUUUCUGAAACUAUUUGGUCGAGAUACAUAAUACAUUAACCAGACCAAAGGAAUUAAAAUUAUACAUUCAAAAUUUUAUAAAUUUAUGGAUGUAUCCGGUUUUUUUUUUUAAAAAAAUAAAUUUAGGUAAUUAAUAAAAAUAAUAGAAAUUUUAUAUAAUCUAGUAAGGAUGAUGUUAAUUUUUUCUAAAAUGAUAUACUCAAAAUGAAGAGCGAAACGAAAAAUUAUGUGGCUGCUGGGAUUCGAGCCCAGGUCUCCACGGCCACAACGUGGAAUUCUCACCACUAAACUACAGCCACAACAUGUAAAAAUUAAACUCUUUAUUGCAUUAUAUCAAUUCAGUUGCUUAAUCACACUGUACAACGAAUAUACUUUUUAGGUGGUAUAAAUCAUACUCACCCAUUUUAAUUUAUUUUUCUUACUUUUUGUUAAAUCUGUUAAUGAAAAGAUGUCUCUUUCUUAGAAUUUGUUCAAUCAUAGAUUUCUCAAAGUAAUUUUUGAGAAAAAAACUUGAAAAAUAUUAUUUGGCCAUAUAAAUUAUUAUUAUUUGACAAAUAAUUCAAAACCUCAAAUACUAGGAAAAAUUAGUAUUUAGGCCUAAUUUUAUUUUUUAAAACUUUUAAAAGUAAAAUAUAUUUCUCAAAUAUUAUGGCCAAAUAUGUGGUGAAACUUCACUAAUCUUUACCAAAAGUAACUUGUCAAAAAUAUUUGAAAAUUUAUGAUCAAACGCUAGCUUAGUUUGACAACUUUUUGACUUCUUUUUUCUUUUUAAGGACAACUUUUUGAUUUCAAUAUCCACGUUACAUGUUUAAGAUCAUAUUAUUUCGCUAUUAUUACUGUUCUCUUUUAUAAUGCUAUAUAGUUCUGCUUUUCUUGUUUUUUUUUUUGGAACCCAAAAAAAAAAUUACAACCUUUGCCACAAUCUCUAUCCUUUGGGUGAGCACUUUGUGGUAACUUGCUCACUGUACAAUAGCUCACAAACCACAAAGAAGAUGUAAACCGCACUAUGCAAGUCCCAUGAGACGAGCUCAUGGCUUAGUGGCAAACAGAAACUAGACUCAAUCUCAGGUCUCCACAUGGAGAACGACCUCCCAAUCACUCAACCAUGCUUUCUUCAUUGUUGUAUUUUUUUUUUCAUAAGUAUUUUGAAUUGUUGCACUUUAGCCUAUGAUCUUUCGUAAAUAGCCUCUAGACCUCCACAAAAUAGGAUCAAGGUAUGCUACUCUAUAUUCUCCUCAAUUUUUACUGGUAGGAUUCCAUCGGGUAUGUUAUUGUAGUUUAAAUUGUAUUAUUAAAGAAUGUUUUGGUACAUUAAACACAUUUAAUUUAAGACACGCUAAAUUUAAAAGUAUUCUUUAUUCUUUUAAACUUUGCGUCAAGUCAAAUUAAGACAAACAAAUUAAAAAAGAGGGAGUAAUAAACAAACUCAGUGUUACAAAUGUUCUACCAACAUAUGAGAUAUCACGAACAAGGGAUUGAUCAUUACCUCAUUGUAUUGGUUAUGUAGUUUGUUGAUCUCCAAGUUUAGGACAAUUGAGUCAUAAAAACAUUCUUUUUUAGGUCCAUUCGAUGUCCGAUACCUGUAUUGAAUUUCCGACCAAUUGAUAUUUUCACUGCAUAAAAUCUACUUAUAUCUCCUACUUCUCGGAGACCAGUACUAAAAUAACAUGAACUAAUACUCCCUCCAUCCCAUAUUAGUUCAUUACAUUUAUUUUUCAUGCUUUCUCAGAAAUCAUAAAUAAGAAGAUAAUUUUACUGACUUAUUCCUUUAGAUACUCGUUUGAAACUUUACAAACUUAUUUUUACACUUUCAAAGAGUAUUAUUUAUAGGGGUAAAAUGAAAAAAAUUAGACUAAUUUUAUCUUGAUUGAGUAAGUGAGCAAAUAAUUUCACAUAUAUAUUUUUAGUAAGAUGAUCAACUAACAUGGAACGGGAAGUAAGAGGUAGACUCGUGAGGAGAUCUGAUUUUAAUAGUUUUUCAUCUUUUUUCUUUCAAAUUAUAUAUAGAGAGGGAGAAAUGAACUGAGUUGAACUUACUUUGGUUCAUUGAUUUAAUUAACCCACCAGCACUUCAAGUUAUAUAUAAUCUUGUGUGUUUGUCUAUGACCACCACAGCAAAUGUCAAAGCCAAGUUGGACAACCGUUAGAGGAGAGGGAAGCAAAUAUGAGACAAAACUAACAGUGAAAAGUUUCAUGGACCAAAAGGCAUCACACGAAGGGCAAAUGUAAGACAAAUCGAAUACUUUGGGGAGUAAAUUAGUUAAAACUUUUCUUCCACAAGCCAAGUUACAUUGGUCUUCAUAGCAUCCAGAGUGCCAUAAUUUCAGCACUAAGAGUACAACAACAACAUGCCCAGUGUAUUGUAUGCAGUCCAUACCACACUUCCAGUGGGAUCUGAGGGAGGGGGGUGGGGAUGGUAAAGUGUAUGCAGUCCAUACCACUACCUCCACUACCUCAGAUGAAGUAAAGAGGUGGUUUCUGAUAGACCUCCAGCUCAAGAUACAUACCAAUAUAACGAAUAAAAGACAAAAAAGCAAACAACAAAAAGGGAUAUCACACCGCUAGAUAAUAAAGGAAACAAAACACCCACAAGGUAAAACUAUAAACAAGCUAUUCAAAAUCAUAAACAUCAACAAAAAACUACGAACAAGAAACUACAAUAAACUGUAGUCACAGUACAAAGCAUUCUUCCCUACUAUUAUGGACGUACUCCUACCUACGAACCCUCAACCCUAAUUCGCGUCCUCCACACCUUCCUAUCAAGGGUCAUGUCCUCCGUCAGCACUCGAGUGAUUAUAAAAAAACUAUAAUUUUGCCCAUGCUAGUCACUUUUUACCGUAAACUAAUGCAACACAUAUGUUUGGGUUCAGCCAAGCUAAAAGUUGCAUGUUGCUAGCAGCAGAACUCAUCCCACAUAUAAGCCACAAAAGCGGAAGUUGGGUUAUCGCUGAAGUAGUCUAGAGCGCUAGCGCUCACAAAUCAUACUUCUUUUAAGCAGAUAUAUGGUUCCAUCCUUGAGAGAGAAAUACCAUCUCCGCCAAAUCUACGCCCUUCACAAGGCACUGGAAACAGUGAAGAAAGAGAUUUUUAAAGACAACUCAGAAAACUUCUAUAACUUAUGUCUAUCCAACAAUAGUAUCUGAGGCAGGUUGUUAAAAUGUCUUUCAAAUGUAUAUCAAAUCAUUAUAUGCACAUUGUUAAAAACCAACCAGCAAGCUAUUCUUCCACGCGGAGUCCCUACAAUAGAAGUCCUGUCUAUUCCACCUUAGUUUUAUCUCAGAGCAGCUUAGUUGCAGAGAGGGCCAAGUCAGAUCAGUUACUGCAAAUGUCGGAAUCCUUCAAGAUCUCGCUAUGGAUUUGCCUUUGGUGGACUUGAAGCUCUAUUUUCUGUAUUCUCCAAAGUUAACGGUUUCUUUAUAGUAUUUAAGAAGCUUCUUGCAUACAGGGCACCAAAGACAAUAACCUGAAAAAAAUUUAAAUCAACCGUAAAACAACUUCCUCCCCAAAUAAAACACACUGAGAGUUUCAGCUUCCAAAGCCAAGAGACAAUUAAGUAAAUGCUUACAGCUCCAACGCAUUGCUCCCAGCUGAGGGGAUGGCCAAACCACAAGCAUGACAGCAAAAUACUCACCAACUACAUCAAUUUAAUUGAGCAUCAGUAUUGGUUAGACACAAGGCCACUAAGGGUGGUUUGGUAAGACGAAUUUGGUUGGGGAGUGUUUUGAUGAAACUUUUGAACAUUAGAGACUAAUAAUAAUGCCCAACUGUUAGUUGAAAUAAGUGAUAUGAAGUCAAAAAAUAAGAUAUAAGGAAAAUGACUUCCACGUAGAACAGAACUAGCAAUACGUGGGACACCCAUGCCAUCUCAGGGGGAUUUGUACAGGAUUGGGAGGUGGAUAGUCUAUUAAGCCUGCUGCCCAAACUGGACUUGCACCACAGUUGAAGAUACAACUGACUCCUUGUCUGGGGACACAACAAGACACUCUCUCUGAAAGAAUGCUACAAGAAGCUACUCUCGAAAUAGAAUGAUUAACUCUUGGCCUAAUAUGGAGGAAAAAAUUACCACCCAAAUCUAUCUGUUUCAGCUAGAUAGAUUACCUUAAAUGAAAAUUGUCUUACACAUGAUUCCCUCAACAGAAGGGGCUUUCGGCUUGCUCACAGAGUUAUCAGCUAGAUACAUGACAAAUAGUCCCGAGACACACUAUCAUCUUUUCUUACAUUGUGCAGUCGUUGCUGACCUGUGGGACAUGUUACAAUUUAUGGACUUCACUGUGUCAUGCUACAUAAUAUGAAAGAGGUCAAUGCUAGUUGCAGUCUAUGGAGAGUGCAUAAAACCAUCAAGAAGACUUGGUUAAUUAUCCCUACAACAUUUUUUUGAAGGGGUAUUAUGGACCGAUAGGAAUCGAAAAGGUGAUCGAAUCUCAACGCCUAAUCAAAACCUCGAAGCAAAUGUUUACUUGAUCUUUUUAGUUGAACAGAGUUAACCCCUGUCAUUAGCACUGACCAUUUUUUGGACAUUGUUAGCUCCCUAGUUGUAGCUUGAUAUACAGUUAGGGGUCAUUUGGUUUGAAGAUAAGUUAUGUCGGGAUUAGCUAUGCUGGGAUUCGUUAUGUUGGGAUUAGUUGUGCUGGGAUUAGUUGUCCUGAUAUUAUUUUUUAGUGGUUGUUUGGUUUGUGGUACUAAAAAUAAUAUGCAUUGCAUUCUUUCUAAGAAUAUAUUAUUUGUUUACAAAAAUACCCUUCACCUUAUAUAUGUGAAAAGUGAUGAUCAAAGGAUUUGGAGGGUAAUUUUGUCAUUUUAUGGCUUUAUCCCAAGAUAAAUUAUCCAGAAAUUAUUAAAGGAUGGGAUAACUUAGCCCGGUACAAUUUGUUAAAUCCGGCAUACUACAAUUGGACUCGGCAACCAAACAGGACACAAAAAUUUUAUUCUUGGACUAUUUUUUUAAUCCCGGAACUAUUUGUUUUGAUACCUUACACCAAACGACCCCUUAAAGAGUCAAUUAUUGCAUCUUUUUGCUUUACUCUUUUUUGUACUAUUGCCUCUUCUUGAUACUUCGAUUAAUGAAAUACCUUCACCCAAAAAUAAAUAAAUUCACCUAUAAGUGAGGGAAGUCAUUUUUCUCCUUUUUGAUAGAAAAUUUAAAACGUAGAAGAUGAUUUCCGUCAUUCCAAACAUCGGAAAAUGACCUGGAAGUCAUUUUCCCAUUCCCUCGUAUCAAACACAUACUAAGUGGAGAGCAUAACACUUUCUCAAACCCUUUGAACUAUAUCUUAUUACCUGUCUGGUGGUCAUUAUGGUUGCAAAGGUUAGAGCACCAAAUGUGCGGAUUGUGUACGAAAUAAAGAAUUGACUAGCUGUUGCUACCUGCAACAAAGAACAUAAACAGAUAUAAUUACAUUUUAAUGACGACCGAGUCUGCACAAUUUAGCCAAGAACAGAGAAUCUUCAUUUAAGCAAAUCAGGAUUUUUAUAUAUUUUACAACAGCUUACAGUAGAAAGCAGAGCAAUGUCAAAGAAACAAUCAUGAUGGCGAGAUACGAAAUCAAUUGCCAUGAGAAGAUUGCCCUGCAUGAUCAUACCUAAAUGGGAAAUAAAAGACAAAUUCUAGUCAGAUCUAUUCAUCGGAACAUAAACUAGAUAAACACUCUUAAUACAAACUCGGGAUACCCAUAAACAUUUAAAGUAUGUCAUUAAACCAAAUAUCCUGCCUAACAGAAAAAGACAAUACACUAGGAGCUGCUACAUAUCAUCAAAUCUUGUGUUCUUAACUAGCUGUCAAGAAUUUCUGCACUAGCAAAUGCAGACGUCUGGGAUAGAGUUUCAUCUACAAUCAUGUAAUAGAAAGGUCAAACAAUAUGCAGUACACCGCAAGAAUACUAUUCAGAACAUCGAGGAAAACUGGACGGCACAUAGUGCUAUGAAUAGUCAAAAUUUCCUGAGCCGGGGUCUAUCGAAAACAGCCUCUCUACUUCAUCUAAGGUAGUGGUAUGGACGGCGUACACUUUACCCUCCCCAGACCCCACUUUGUGGGAAUACAUUGGAAUUGUUGUCGUUGUUGUUGUAUAGUGCUAUGAACAGUCAAAAUUUUGGAUCUAAACUGAAACGUAAUUCAAAGCCAAACAUACUUAAGCUUGGAAGCUAACCAAUCCUUCAUAUUCAUCAGCUGUUGCAUAAAUUUGCAUUUUAGAUAAUUUAUAGAAUCAAUUUAAAGGUUAUCAAGAAAUAUAUAGAACAACAACAAUAAACUCGGUGCAAUCCCACAAGUGGGGCCAGGGGAGGGUAGUGUGUAUGCAGACCUUACCCCUAUCUUGUGGAGGUAGAGGACUAUUUCCGAUAGACCCUCAGCUCUCAAAUAACUAAAAAGAAAGCAUUUCAAAAUAGUUUUGUAAAUAAAAAGUACGAAAGUGAAGAAUCCGGGGCAAAUACUAAGGAAGGAAUUACAUAGCAUUUUGAAAGAAAAAAAACAAUAACAGCUAAAUAAUUUGAUAAUGAAAGUGCUAGAAACAACCGAUAGUUGUAACUGAAGAACAAGAAACCAAGAGAAAAACACUACUACUACUGGUAUUAAGGAAAAGUAGAUAAGGUGCUCCAAACUACCACCAAGCCUAUCCCACAAGCGCUCAACUAACAACUACCUAUCUACUGUGAUUUGUAAGUCUUACAGUAAACCAUGGAAAUUAUUGGAGAUGACAAGCUUAGUGAGAAGACCAGGAAAAUAACAAAAUAGUUAACUUUGUAGAAGUUUUCAGCAUCUUGUCCGAUACCUUUUUUAGAUGUUAAGAUUGAUUUUUUUUAAACCCUGGGGUUGCGCGCACCUCGACUAAUACAGGAUACUUGCUCCCCCACCAGCACAGGUAUCGAAUAACUCUAUCCACCAAGGCCUAGAAAGGAUGGGAAGAAAUCACCUAGUGCUUUUGCCACCGUUGGGAUUUGAACCCGAAACUCAUGAUUCUCCACCCACUUCAAUGAACACUAGGCCACACCCUUGGGUGCAUAAGAUUGAGUUUCUUAAUAAUAAAUCAAAUACACUACUAAUUAGUUGCAGAAACUAGUUUUGCAACUGCAGUAAAUGAGAUCUUACCAGCGAAACUAAGAAGACAAGAACAGACGGUUGUGUAGAAUAUCUGAGUGUGUAUUUCCAUAUCAUAACCUUUAAAAAGUUUAUCCUGGAAUGUGCUUGUAAAUCCAUCAAACCUGUGAGAUCAAAUGCUUUAUUAAAGCCUUGUUUCAGAAGCUUAAAAAAACUAAUAUUCAAUUCUAAUAGGGAGAUGACUCAAUUUCUCCUUUUAAUAAAAACCAAAGAACGAUGAAACUGAAUAAGGGUAUAUUUGCUUCUUAAGUUAGACUUUUGUAUCAACUUGCUGAGUGAAGUUUUGAUAUCUUUAUGUUUUACUCCUAUUAUCUUAAAAUAACUCCUCUGCUAUGGACCAAUUAAAAGAGCUCGUUGAGCAAUAGCAUAGUCAUCAGGUAAAAAGAAUUGUAAAAAUUCAUUGGGAAAGCAAAAGAGAUGUAUUUAAUAUGCAAAGUAACAAUUAUUUUGUUCACCAGAAAGCUAGCAAAAGAUGACUUUCUGUUUAUAACAUAUGUUAAUAGCUCAAAAAUCUAUGAAGCAAAUUCUGAUCUUUUUCCUUUUGAUUGACUUGGAGGCUCCAAUCAUGGAGCAUUAGGAGUUAAGACAUUUUUUUUCUGGCAAUCUUAGCGAAUAAGGUGAAAGACAGUACAUCAAGGGAGGAAAAAGAGAGAACAUUAUAAACAUUACAGACCUCUUAUGAUAAACAAACUCAUUCAAAUACAAGAUAUGUGCUUGGACCUAGUUUUCUAGAUCUCUGACACAUUCUCAAGAAAGUCUCAAUUUUAAGCAAAUCCAGCUGUUUCUCUUAACAUUCAUUAAUUAAAUGACCAAAUUAAAAUGUUUGAUUAUAUCAACUCAUACCCAAGAUAGCCCAUCAUAAGAGAAACUCCCCAAAUGGUGCUCUCCCUUUCUCUACUGUAUGGGCUAGUGUCCCCUUCUGCCUAGAACCAAAAAAAACUGUAAAAAUACUGCCUUGAGGAUACAACUGCAAAGGAAAAUAUAUUCUGAAUACUUUUCAAGCACAAGCACGUGUGCCAGAAACAAUAAUCUUGUUAGUAAGUCUGUAUUCUAGUUUGGAGAAUUAACCCUAAGUACAUCAUUCUGAUUUAUAUUUAGUGCUAGUAAAUUAUACAAAAUAACUGGCUUCAAAACAGUCCCUCAACAAGGUAAACAACAUAAAUGUCAUGAAAUCUAUUUCAUUCCAAAGAUAAUGAAACAGUAAACUAUUUGUUCUAGUGUUUCAGAAUCAGACCAGCAUAAAAGUUCCAGGGAGGUGCAGCAGAAGAUGCCCAAAAAUUUGAUGGCUUCCCAAGAAAAGAGUGCAGGAAUUUCAACCCAGUAAUCCCUCAUUCAGUGCUCGUAACAUAUUAGGCCAUUGCACCUGUUCAUUGGGAAUGUAAAUUGCCAUAUCUCCCUGUUUAUGGAGAUCCAAUACAACAACUAUGCUUUAACCCCAAGCUCUAGUUGGGGAUAUGUAUAAAAAUCCCCUCUAUCCAUUUUGCUCCAUUUGAAACCAUAUUUUUCCAAUAUCCAAUAAUUUAGGUUGUCUAGCAUCACAAGUUCUUUACAUUUUCAGAUGACAUACAAAUGUACAAGAAUAAAGUGACUUCUAGCAAACAUUGGACCUUACUGUAAGCUUAACAACAUGAUUAUGGCCUCAUUUGUUUGCACUUAAUGGAGGCCUGAAUCUGAAUAGUUCAGACUUCAGACCAUUAAGUGCAUUUGUUUUUUAUUAAGGUUUUAACUCUUAAUAGGUCUGAAGGUAUAUUCUGGUGUUGGAUAAUAUUCACCACUCUAUUCAUAAUAAGCAGUCACCACCACUAACCACCUCUGCCACCAUCACCAUUGUCAACCACCAUCCACCACCACCAACCACCUCCGCCAUCACAACCACCAUCGACAAAAAAUAUCAACCAUAAUUGUCAACCGCUACCACACCUACUACCUCUUUUAUUCUAAUUAUAUUCACCGCCACCACUGCCGUCAACAGCACCACAAUCAGUAAUCACUACCAGUCAAUCCCUACUACAAACCAACUCAUCUAUCACAACUAGCACCACCACUAACUACCACUAAUACAUCACAACCUCUACACAUUCUUUGGCCGCCACAUUGUCAAUCAUCAGGCAUUCAUGUUUCAGCCAACACAACCAACACCUUAAACUACUAACAUCAAGCAACGUCACAACACAACCACCAUCACCACCAUCAAUCGCCACCAUCAUAACAGUCACUACAAUACCAACCAUCACAAUUAUCACCACCAACAUUAUUAAUCACUAACAUCAAUCAUAGUCACCGCAACCACCAUUAUAAGUCAUCUCCACUAUCGCUAACAAACAUAAAUAUUUUUUCUCAAUCAAAUACUAAUAAUUUUGUUUUAUUAAAUUACAUACUUUUUUAAUAUAUAAUUAAUUUUUUAUUUGAAUUGGAGUUUUUAUUUUAUUAUGUAUAUAAAUAAUUUUUUUUAAACAUUCAGAUGUUGAAAAACAAACAGUCUUAAUCAUUCAGUUUUCAGAUCUAGAGACAACAUCUUAAUCAUUCAGAUGUGUAUUCAGAUUCAGACGUCUGAAUCUGAAAAAAAACAAAUGGAGCUUAUUGUCUUAGUCUAACUACAUGUAUCACCUAUAAUGAAUUUUUACUUCCAUUGGGUGGUAUUUUCCCUAAAUCUGCAAGGAUUUCCAGAGAUUACAGGUCUUUUGAGACAACUUCUCUUCUGAUAAAUCAUGGCUACUAGAAAAGGUUAAUAUGAAGCAAAAGAUUCAUGAAGGAUUCACGCAAAAUAUACUCUGAAAAUAAUUCCUACAAUAAUUUGGCUUAGUGGCAUUCAGAAAAACACAAAGGUGUUCAGAAGAAGACAUAAGUUAUUACCGGAUACAGAAUAAAUAAUGAACAACCAAGUGUGACUAGGAAUGCCAAGAAAUAGUCCUGUCCUUUGUACUUCUUUUGCAUCAUGAUAGUGCCCCAGAUCUGCAUGAGACAAAAAGGAAGUGUAAGAUGGGUAUCAAAUGGGAAGCAUACUCAAUAGUGUUACUUGUUUAAACAAAAUAUUGUAGGUGAGACAAUGUAAAACUACGAGAUGCAAAGAGGCAGAUUUAAAAUAAAAAUAUGUUACUUUUAACUUCAGUAAAGGAGGUGGUUCUUUAUUGAAAUUAUAGGUGCUAAAAUAACCAAAAAAAGUACCUAGAAAACACCAUAUAAACAUUAAAUUUAGUGCUUCACCAGUUAAUUUUUUCAUACAAAAGGACAAAUUCACAUUUCAAAGUAGAUGGAUAUGGUAUCAUAGACCAGAAGUCAUAGCUAGAUGCCUUGAAUCAACAAUGCCAAAGCUCAAACAAAUUACUCUAUAUAGAAGCUGACUACAUAAAUUCUAGACCAGUCUCACCCAGAGGCACUAUAUGAACUUCAUUUUCCAGCAAUUACAACAAUCUAAACAAUCUAAAUGGCAAGUUCACUUACCAUUACAGGUAUCAUUUUGGCACAUUUUGCCAGGGUUUGAACAGGAAAGCUGACGUAUUUGAGAGCCUAAGAAAGAAUCAAAAUUAUCAGAUCUCAUCAGUUAUUACUUCACAACUGCCAAAGUUCUUUAGAUCAUAUUUGUCCAAAUCUUAUAAAGGGCAGCCCGGUGCACUAAAGCUACCGCUAUGUGCGGUAUCCGGGGAAGGGCCCCACCACAAGGGUGUAUCGUACGCAGACUUACCUUGCAUUUCUGCCAGAGGCUGUUGUUUCCAAGGCUUGAACCCGUGACCUCCUGGUCACAUGGCAGCAACUUUACCAGUUACUCCAAAUCUUAUGCGUUCGAUUUUUGUUUUUCACGAUCUUUUUUGUUUAAGGUUUAAUAUCUGUUUUCUACUUUGUUCUUUACUUCAUUUUCAUGAAAUCACAAGGAAGAUAAAACUUACCUCAUACUGACAAGUUGUUGUAAGGAUGUUAGACACAGAAACUAUACAAUACUUAUGGAGUGGAGCUACUGGGUCCAAUGCCUUCUUACUUGCCUGCAAAUCAGAGAAUUGGAGGUAAAUGCUUAGUGUAGUGUGUGACAAAUUCCCAAGAAAACAACAACAUACCCAGUGAAAUCCCACAAGUGAGGUUUUGGAAGGGUAGAGUGUACGCAGACCUUACCACUACCUCGCGCGGGCAGAGAGGUUUCCGAAAGACCCUCGGCUCAAGUGCAGCAAAUCCAGGUACAAAGAAGAAGGAAAUAGUGAAGAAAAUAUAGCAACUAACAAGGAAACAGUGCAAAGUCUACAAGAAAACAAAAAAUAAUGCAAACACUACAGAUUUCACUCUUUGCCUCACCAAGAGGCUCUCAAAAUAGAUUUGAAUGAUGUAAAGGGUCGUUUGGUUUGAAAAAAAGUUAUAACGGAAUUAUUUAUGCUGGGAUAAGUUAUGAUAGGAUAAGUUAUACUGGGAUUAGUUAUGUUGAGAUUAUUUUUUAUUGAGUGUUUGGUUUGUUGUAUUCAAAGUAAUAUGCAUGGUAUAAUUUCUAGGAAUAAAUUGAUUGAUUACCAAAAUAACCUUCAUCUUAUUUAACCUUUUUUAUAUAUAUAUAUUUCUUUUUAAGCUUUAAAUAUUCAUUCUUAAAUUUUUUUAUUUUUUUUUAGAGAAAUUAAAAUAUAUAAAUAAACAUAAUUUAUAUAUUUUACAACCAUUUUGAACGGUAAACUGUUCAAAAUUUAUUUAUUUAUGAAUAUAUUAUACGUUAAUUAAACAUAAUUUAUUAUUUAUGAAUAUAUAUAUAAAAUAUAUAUAUAUAUGUGUGUGUGUGUGUGAGAGAGAAAAAUGAAAAUAAUAGAGUUUGAGGGUAUUUUUGUCCUUUCAUACAUUUAUCCCAAGGAUAAAUUAUGGUGGGAUUGUUAUCUCACCAAUUGAGUGGAUAACUUAUCCCGGGACUAUUUAUUAGUCCCAGGAUAAGUUAUCCCAAAUAUUGCCAACCAAACAUGCAAUAGAAAAUUUUAUCCCGGAAUUAUUUGCUUCAACACCUCAAACCAAACGACCCCUAAAGGUACACUUGCAGUAUUAGAUGAAUAAGUCGUCUGUGCUUAUAGCCUAGAAUUGUUCUUUACCAGUAAAACUCCAGCAGAGACUGCAGAUGUGGUAAUCCGAUUGCAGAAGACAAGAAAUAAUGAGUAUAUAAAAUAGUCUUUGUUUGCCCCAUAAGGAACUCGCAUGAUCUUUUCCUGCAAGAACAGAUUUCAUCAUGAUGUCAAGGAUACAAAAGGUACACAAUAUCCAAGUUAAACGUAAAAAGGUGUUGCUUUAUUAAUAUGGGAUUAAGCAUGAGAUCAAAGUGACCUGUUGAACAGCUUGUAGAUGCUGCUAUACUUAUAUUUGCCAUUUCUCAUAAAUAUGCAGAUAACGAAAAAAGAAAGUGCAAAAGAAACCUCAAAAUUACUUAUGUUAAAUGGAGAAGAUCUUCUUGUACAAAUAAUUGCAUCUUCAAUUUAAGAAACUGGGGAAGAGGAUACAGAUCAAGGAAUUGGAUGACUCAAAGAUCAUUUUCAACAGUUGCUUACUCAAUGAUCACAUCAGUCCUUUAUUUUUGGUGCGUGGGGGGUGCAUGGAUGGGGUUGUAAGUUACUAUGAAUCUAUUUAACAGUUACUAAGAAUCUAUUUAACAUGUAAACUCCAGAAGUAAAAGGAAAAAAAAAUGUAGCAGAUUUUGCAUGAGAAUCAAUUGAAAACAGAAAAGAGACAUAUAAUCACAGAGAAAAGAGUCGUUUUAUGUGUAAUACUGGAAAGCUGCAAUUAGAAUCUAGAUGACUAUAUUGUACGAUGUGGCUCCCACUAAAAAACUCAAAUUAUGUGGAAAUUACACACACUUGGGCUGAUUGUCAAUAAGGGCACAUAUCAAGGUUUGAUUAGCCUAAACCCUUAAAACUUAGCAAAUGGGCAUGAAACAAAUUUGCAGGAAUGACAACUGCUAUAGAGAACAAGUGAAUUUAGAUAUUUAUUAAUGAACAAACAAUACUAAAAUUUUGUAGUUCACCUUUAUGCUUAUUUGUUUUAGGCUUGCUUAAUAUAGUACUGUGCUCUAUUCUUAUCCUCCAUAUGCUACCUUCCAUUUUUGUUUUUUUGGUAGAAAAAGAAGAAAGAAGGUGAGUUUGAACACUGACACAAGAGCCCUUAUUUAUUCAAAAGAGUGUCUCUUCCUCUUAAGAGCCUGUUGGAUUGGCUUAUUUUAAGUGCAAGUCCAAAUAGCUUUUAAGCACUUUUGUAGUGUUUGAGUAAAAUAAAAAAAGUGUUUUUAAGAUCUUAUGUAUAUGCCAAAAGCCAUAAGUUAGAAUUCCUAACUUAAGGCUUUCGUCUUAUAAGCCAAAAGCUAUAUGUCCAUCCAAAUAGUCUUCCAUCUGGAGCAAUUGAGCCAGACAACAUUGAUAGCAAAGUUUCCGUGGUAUGGUACAAAGCUUUUUUUGUCUGGAUCUUCGACAGAUGUACUCAACUGGUAUAAAAUGAAUGGCUCAUCCAAUGAGUGAUACACUACCGAGUAAACUGCAAAUGGGUCUUGCUUGGUAUAAUAUAAGUGGAUGAGUUAGUUAUAAUUAGCUCAUAAAUAACUUCUUUUUGGUUUCGGUUGCUUGACUCAAUAAUCGCCUUCAAAGUCAUUGACUCCAUGUGACGUUUUACUCUGGAAUCACACAAUUGUAUAAGAAAUUUAUUUAGAACAGAUCUUGUCCUGCAGGAUGCCCACACCUUGUGGCUUCCUCUGUAAAAUCGUUUGGAUCCCAUUGUAAGCACAACUCUUGCGUACUAACAGAAUUUGAAACUAUACCUCGAAACCAUUUCAUGAUAGGAUUAUAUUUAGAAACUCCAAUAUCAUAUUGGAAAGACUCUCUAUCAUGUUUUUUCACCCACAUAGAAUAAGCAUGUUUCCAUCCCAUGAGGGACCGAAAUGUCAGAGAAGCUGAAGACAAUCAGGAGGGAAGAAGUCCUUUAAAAUAAAUAAACUGAAAAUGCUUCACACUAGAAUUUAAUACCAAAAGUGUUCCGUCCGUUCAUUCUAAUAAGAACUGGAACAAUCAGAACUUCUAGAAUUAGCAAAAAUAAAGCACCAUGGAAAAGAACUUGCCCAAUGCUCUAAGCUUAAAUACCCAAAGUUAUUCUCCAUUUCCUCCCGUUGCAUACUAAACAAAUUUGUUACAAGAAUCUACUUAUGCAACCCAAAACUUCAAGGCAAUGAGUGGAGUGGUUGUCCGAUCCUUGUUCAACCACUUUAGAUAGACUUGCUUAUCCAAUGCGAGCCUUUUAUAUACAGCUCAAUGUCCUUCUGCACAUGUAACCUAAAUCUUAGGUCACACAUGACUCCAUGCAGACCUACGAAUGAGACUAUUGGUGUGCCAAAUGUUGCCUAUUAUACCAUAGUAAGGAAUCUAAAUAUUUAAACCAAAACUUAGUGGCAAUGAGUCAAGUUGACCAAGAACUCAACAAAGUUCAUAGCGCAUUGAACAAAAGCGUCUUAUACUGUUCAAUGUUGUAUGCACUAAUAACUUCAUAGCGCAUUGAACAAAAGCGUCUUAUACUGUUCAAUGUUGUAUGCACUAAUAACUAAGGCUUUUUCCCUCUUGUUUCUUUCAAUUGCAAAUGAAUAAAAUUACCAAAGCAGCAAGUGUAUCUCCUCAUUUUUCCUUUGCCCGUACGAUCAUGCAAGUACCCUCUUCCUAAAGCCCUUAACACUAUCAUACAAUUACAAUUACCUCUCCCACCAAAAUAAGAACUGAGCAACACAAUGAUACUUAAAGCGAUUAUACAUUUUCAUAACAUCAAAGGGCAUACUCUAUUUGUUUCAAUUAAUAUCACUCUCUUUUCAUUUUAGAACGUCUCCACAUGAUUGCACCAUUCCUUUUCAAUCAAAAUGUCACAUCUUCUAAUAAUUCAAGUUAAAAAUUCAAGCUCUUUCACAACUUCUAAUAACUCAAAUUAAAAAUUCAAACUCUAAAGCUUAAUGUGAUACUUUCCAAUGCACUAAGCUCCCGCUAUGUGUGAGGUUAAGGGAAAGACCGGACCACUAGAGUCUACUAUACGCAGCCUUGUGUAACAUUUUUAUAAAAGGAUGUUUCCACUCCUCGAACCCGUGACCUCUUCGUCACAUUGCAGCAACUAUCACAUUGUUAUUUUCUUUCACAACCACUAAUAUAACGCACCAGCCAAAAUGAACACCAUGCUCAGUCAAAUGCAACAACAACAAACCCAGUGUAUUCCCACCUAGUGGGGUCUGGGGGGGUAAGAUGUACGCAGUCCAUACCUCUACCUCUAAUGAGGUAGAAAGGCUGUUUCCGAUAGACCCCCGACUCAAGGCACGAGAUACCACACAAACACAUAGUGCACCACAGAAGCAGAUUACAUAACAUAAAUACGGCACCCAUAAGUAAUAUAAAGCAGAGGAAAGCAGGGGAAAGCACACAGAUUCGUAAUACAACAUGGAACACGGAACACGGAAUCAUGACAAGAAUAAAACCCCCACCAAGUAAUUCCCUACUCUAGGGACCAGAACUGGCCCUAAUCCUCUGCCGUAAUUCGCGUCCUCCAGACCUUCCUAUCUAGGGUCAUGUCCUCGGUGAGCUGUAACUGUUUCAUGUCCCGCCUAACCACCUCACCCCAGUACUUCUUCGGCCUACCCCUACCCCGCCUAAAAUCAUCCAACGCUAGUCUCUCACACCUACGGACCGGAACUGGCCAACACUCCGCUCCAUACAGCAAGGCCGGGCGGACUACCACCCUGUAGAAUUUGCCUUUAAGCUUGGGCGGCACCUUCUUAUCACACAGCACCCCCGACGCGAGUUUCCACUUCAUCCUUCCCGCCCCAAUACGGUGCGAGACAUCCUCGUCAAUCUCACCGUUACUCUGGAUCACGGACCCAAGAUACUUGAACUUAUCCCUCUUACAUACCUCCUGUGCUUCCAGCUUCACUACUACCUCAUUCUCCCGCCUCACGUCAUUAAACUUGCAUUCCACAUACUCUGUCUUGCUUCUGCUCACCCUGAACCCUUUAGACUCAAGAGUUUGCCUCCACCCCUCUACUUUGUCAUUCACACCCCCUCGAGUCUCAUCUAUCAGAACUACAUCGUCUGCAAAAAGCAUACACCACGGCACCUCCCCUUGAAUACGCCGCGUCAACACAUCCAUCACCAACGCAAACAAAAAGGGACUAAGAGUAGAUCCCUGAUGCAAUCCUGUCAGGACAGUGAAAUGCUCCGAGUCUCCUCCCGCCGUCCUCACCUGGGUUUUCGCUCCAUCAUACAUAUCCUUAAUUACUCUGAUAUAUGCCAGCGGUACCCCACUCACCUCCAAGCAUCUCCAAAGCACCUCCCUGGGGACUUUGUCGUAAGCCUUCUCCAGGUCGAUAAACACCAUGUGCAGAUCCUUCUUCCUCUCCCUAUACUGCUCCACCAACCUCCGUACCAGGUGGAUUGCCUCCGUCGUCGAGCGGCCGGGCAUAAAUCCGAACUGGUUCUCCGAAAUAGACACUAUCCGUCUCAGCCUCACCUCGACCACUCUCUCCCAGAUCUUCAUCGAGUGACUCAAUAACUUAAUCCCCCUAUAGUUAUCGCAACUCUGAAUGUCCCCCUUAUUCUUAUAGAGAGGGAUUAUGGUACUCCACCUCUACGCCUCGGGCAUCUUUGCCGUCCUGAAAAUUUCAUUGAACAAUCCAGUCAACCACCUUACACCAGCCUCUCCAACGAACUUCCAAAACUCCACCGGUAUCUCAUCCGGCCCUGUCGCCCUACCCCUUCGCAUCCUGCGGACAGCCUGUCUAACCUCUUCUACCUUAAAACGUCUACAAUAGCUAAAAUCCCGACACUCCUCUGAGUGCUCCAGUUCCCCUAAAUAGAAAUGCAUACAUA